RNAcentral lists this ribosomal RNA (346 nucleotides) under Marcelleina tuberculispora. Its description in RNAcentral is "SSU rRNA". It matches the Rfam family "Eukaryotic small subunit ribosomal RNA", at positions 594 to 945 of the family's 1831-position model. The record is from RNAcentral. Lineage: Eukaryota; Fungi; Ascomycota; Pezizomycetes; Pezizales; Pezizaceae.
AUAGCGUAUAUUAAAGUUGUUGCAGUUAAAAAGCUCGUAGUUGAACCUUGGGCCUGGCUGACCGGUCUGCCUCACCGCAUGCACUGGUUUGGCCGGGCCUUUCCUUCUGGCUAGCCGCAUGCCCUUCACUGGGUGUGUUGGGGAACCAGGACUUUUACUUUGAAAAAAUUAGAGUGUUCAAAGCAGGCAUAUGCUCGAAUACAUUAGCAUGGAAUAAUAGAAUAGGACGUGUGGUUCUAUUUUGUUGGUUUCUAGGACCACCGUAAUGAUUAAUAGGGAUAGUCGGGGGCAUCAGUAUUCAAUUGUCAGAGGUGAAAUUCUUGGAUUAAUUGAAGACUAACUACUG